Gopherus flavomarginatus (Mexican gopher tortoise) is the source of this 2834-nucleotide long non-coding RNA. RefSeq lists it as uncharacterized. The record is from RefSeq and is a predicted model, not a curated record. The transcript has 5 exons. Lineage: Eukaryota; Metazoa; Chordata; Testudines; Testudinidae.
CAACAAUGAAGGCUUGGGAUCAUGAGCAGUGGCUGCAGAACUUUUGGAUUCGCAAGUCCACAUUUCUGCAUCUGUGUGCAAAACUCACCAAAAUAAAAGCUGCGCUGACAAUGGAGAAGCAAAUAUAAUUGCACUAUUGGCACCUGCAACACCAGAUUCUUAUUGGUCAAUCAGUGGUGAUGGAGUUCUUUAAUGUAAGUAGUCACAACAUAUUGUUAAAGAUCAUUUCAUGCUCAAUGCCCUGUUAACACUUCUGCAGUCACAGAUGAUAUCAGUCAGCUCAGCCUUGGGGAACCAGGGCACAGUAUCCAGCCUGUCUGACUCAUGAAAGGACCCAGCCCCCUCCCCUCCUUGAACCAAAACCGAUCAAAUACAAAAUUUGCAUAGGGCAGUGAAUGGUAGUGUGAGACAAGGGUGACAAGAUGAAGACAACUCCCCUAUCCUCAUCUGCAUGAAAGAUGGGACAAUGAGACAUCUCAUUAGCAUACAGAAUGGAGAAAAGAGAGCAGCACUGAACUCUGGGACCAGAAAAGCAGGGAACAACUGCAUCAUGGGGGAAUCUCUGCUCCAGAUCUUAAUGAACCUAUGCCUGCACACACCCAGCUCAGCAGUUAGACCAAUUCUAAUAAUGAAUCCUUGAUUGAUGUCCAAAAUACUGAAGCAGCCCAAUUUCAUUGCAAGCUCCCUGAAGGAAUAUCAGUGAUAGCUAGGAGUGAUCAGGUCCUAUUGUCUAGCCCAGGGGUAGGCAACCUAUGGCAUGAGUGCUGAAGGCAGCACGCAAGCUGAUUUUCAGUGGCACUCACACUGCCUGGGUCCUGGCGGCUCUGCAUUUUAAUUUAAUUUUAAAUUAAGCUUCUUAAACAUUUUUAAAACCUUAUUUACUUUACAUACAACAAUAGUUUAGUUAUAUAUUAUAGACUUAUAGAAAGAGACCUUCUAAAAACAUUAAAAUGUAUUACCGGCACACAAAACCUUAAAUUAGAGUGAAUAAAUGGAGACUUGGCUCAGCACUUCUGAAAGGUUGCCGACCCCUGGUCUAGCCUAAAGAAGACCCUUGAGUCAUCAGUUUACCCAUAAACAAAUCUAGGUUCCUCCCUUGAACCACUGUAUUUUCUCUACAAAAACCCCUACUCACAUUCCAGUAAAUGUUCUCAUGCAUGGACCAAACUCUGCCUCAGUUCUACUGGGAUUUCAUCUACUCCUCACUGAUCCAAGACCCUGAACUACCACCAUCACCUGGGAACUCUGACAAAUUCAAGUUUCCUGGAGUGAAUUCUUCAGAAUUUCAGAAAACUAUUUUAUCCCAAAAAGUUGCACCAAGCAAAAAAUUACCUGCACUACACACAGAAAGAAUGGUUGCCAUUGUGCAUACCAUGAAAGAAGCCCUGCAACUCGUUGAAAUGUAUCAUGGCAGUCCAUUGGAUGGACAUCUAGGAAUAUUCUAAAUGAGGAAUAUGCUGACAUAAAAAUGCUAUUGGCCAGAGACGACAAAAGAUAUUGCUAAUUGGUUUAACCUGUAUAUUUGUGAAAGAUGGGGAAUAAAAUGUAGCUUCACGAGACUGUACCAUCCACAAACUAAUGGCUUGGCUGAAAACACUAAUAAAUCCAUCAAAAGGUAAGCGAGCGGGUGGGAGUAUUACAGUACUAAUGGCAAGUAGAGUGUGCUAUGCCAGAAGAUGCAACUCACUAAAAAAUCUUCAAAAUCAACGUGUUACAUUGGAAGUCUUUCAUUAUGCAUUACACCUUUUUGAUUAUGUAUAAUCUAUUUCAGUCAAGACUGUACAUGUCUUUUUUUUUCUUUUAAGCAAACCAAUGAGCAUUUGUUACUGAGCAUUGCAAAAGAUGGUUGACAAUAGGGGUAACUGGAAUGAAUUACUUGAGCUCAUUUUCUUUUCUUUGCGAACUAAAGUACACGCAACAACAAAAAUUUCAUCCUUUCGACUAAUGUUUUGUGCUGACCCAGUGUUUCCAGAAGAAGUAUCAGAGAAUUACACGGUGAUGUAUGUUAUUACCAGCACCUUUCAUCUACACAUGGCAUUCAGUGUGUCUUCAUUUUACAAAUACAACCCCCUUCUCCAUUUGUUUACAAAGAUCCCAGAUAUGAAUACAUUUGGGGAAGAUUUCUGCAAAGAGUACAGCAUAAAUAUGAAAUUGAGACAUGAUGCUGACAUUGCGCUGGUGCUAAGUAACAUUUCUAAAGCACAAGAAAAACAACCAAGACAUUAUGCUAAAAGAGAGACUUCUAAAUAUGGGGAAAUAACAUUUGAUGUUGGGGACUGUAUUCCUGUUACUGAAUGCUAGAAAGAGAACAGGAAAAGGAGAAACGCUGCAACCUACCUAUUGGGGGACCAUACAAAAUUAUGACUCAGGGUAAGAGAAUGAAAUUACAAACCAUCUCAAGGAAACUGUUAGGAACCAUGUAUAGCAUCGCACACUUAAAACCAUUUAAAGAGCCACCAACAUUAGCUGCUGAAAGCACAUCAGAGAAAAACAUCGGAAUUGAAAUUGCAGUUGGUGACACUGAACCAGAAACACCCUGAGAAGACAUUAGAAAAGUGGAUGGCACUGUAUCUCACCAGUCUCAUGACAGCACAGUGAAAAAAACAGAGGUCAGAGCAACGGAAGAAGAGGGGUAUAUAGGGCAAGAUGUUUCAAGCAACGAUACAAGUGAUGCUGAUGACAAUUUUUUUGACAUGCUUAUGGGGAAGGUGGAAGACAAGCAAUAGAUUCUGAAAGUCAAAUUUGUAAUGACUGGCAAACACACAGAGACUGGAGGCCAAGUGAGAAAAAUCACAUUGUAUGGCUCAUUUCAUUGCCCGAAACGAAGAAGCUGG